CGCGUAGGCGGUGGGUUACGUCUGCCGUGAAAUCCCCGGGCUCAACCUGGGAAUGGCGGUGGAAACGGGCUGACUAGAGUAUGGGAGAGGGUGAUGGAAUUCCAGGUGUAGCGGUGAAAUGCGUAGAGAUCUGGAGGAACAUCAGUGGCGAAGGCGGUCACCUGGUCCAAUACUGACGCUGAGGCGCGAAAGCGUGGGGAGCAAACA
Molecule: ribosomal RNA, 207 nt
Filed under: uncultured Acidithiobacillus sp.
Lineage: Bacteria; Pseudomonadati; Pseudomonadota; Acidithiobacillia; Acidithiobacillales; Acidithiobacillaceae
Description: partial 16S ribosomal RNA
Rfam family: Bacterial small subunit ribosomal RNA
Source: RNAcentral